This 1414-nucleotide ribosomal RNA is filed under the name Raoultella sp. RNAcentral's name for it is "bacterial SSU rRNA". It matches the Rfam family "Bacterial small subunit ribosomal RNA". The record is from RNAcentral. Lineage: Bacteria; Pseudomonadati; Pseudomonadota; Gammaproteobacteria; Enterobacterales; Enterobacteriaceae.
AUGCAGUCGAGCGGUAGCACAGAGAGCUUGCUCUCGGGUGACGAGCGGCGGACGGGUGAGUAAUGUCUGGGAAACUGCCUGAUGGAGGGGGAUAACUACUGGAAACGGUAGCUAAUACCGCAUAACGUCGCAAGACCAAAGUGGGGGACCUUCGGGCCUCAUGCCAUCAGAUGUGCCCAGAUGGGAUUAGCUAGUAGGUGGGGUAAUGGCUCACCUAGGCGACGAUCCCUAGCUGGUCUGAGAGGAUGACCAGCCACACUGGAACUGAGACACGGUCCAGACUCCUACGGGAGGCAGCAGUGGGGAAUAUUGCACAAUGGGCGCAAGCCUGAUGCAGCCAUGCCGCGUGUAUGAAGAAGGCCUUCGGGUUGUAAAGUACUUUCAGCGAGGAGGAAGGCAUUAAGGUUAAUAACCUUAGUGAUUGACGUUACUCGCAGAAGAAGCACCGGCUNAACUCCGUGCCAGCAGCCGCGGUAAUACGGAGGGUGCAAGCGUUAAUCGGAAUUACUGGGCGUAAAGCGCACGCAGGCGGUCUGUUAAGUCAGAUGUGAAAUCCCCGGGCUCAACCUGGGAACUGCAUUUGAAACUGGCAGGCUUGAGUCUUGUAGAGGGGGGUAGAAUUCCAGGUGUAGCGGUGAAAUGCGUAGAGAUCUGGAGGAAUACCGGUGGCGAAGGCGGCCCCCUGGACAAAGACUGACGCUCAGGUGCGAAAGCGUGGGGAGCAAACANGGAUUAGAUACCCUGGUAGUCCACGCUGUAAACGAUGUCGACUUGGAGGUUGUUCCCUUGAGGAGUGGCUUCCGGAGCUAACGCGUUAAGUCGACCGCCUGGGGAGUACGGCCGCAAGGUUAAAACUCAAAUGAAUUGACGGGGGCCCGCACAAGCGGUGGAGCAUGUGGUUUAAUUCGAUGCAACGCGAAGAACCUUACCUACUCUUGACAUCCAGAGAACUUAGCAGAGAUGCUUUGGUGCCUUCGGGAACUCUGAGACAGGUGCUGCAUGGCUGUCGUCAGCUCGUGUUGUGAAAUGUUGGGUUAAGUCCCGCAACGAGCGCAACCCUUAUCCUUUGUUGCCAGCGGUUCGGCCGGGAACUCAAAGGAGACUGCCAGUGAUAAACUGGAGGAAGGUGGGGAUGACGUCAAGUCAUCAUGGCCCUUACGAGUAGGGCUACACACGUGCUACAAUGGCAUAUACAAAGAGAAGCGACCUCGCGAGAGCAAGCGGACCUCAUAAAGUAUGUCGUAGUCCGGAUUGGAGUCUGCAACUCGACUCCAUGAAGUCGGAAUCGCUAGUAAUCGUAGAUCAGAAUGCUACGGUGAAUACGUUCCCGGGCCUUGUACACACCGCCCGUCACACCAUGGGAGUGGGUUGCAAAAGAAGUAGGUAGCUUANCCUUCGGGAGGGCGCUUACCAC